This 253-nucleotide ribosomal RNA is filed under the name uncultured bacterium. RNAcentral describes it as "partial 16S ribosomal RNA". It matches the Rfam family "Bacterial small subunit ribosomal RNA", at positions 524 to 776 of the family's 1533-position model. The record is from RNAcentral.
UACGAAGGGUGCAAGCGUUACUCGGAAUUACUGGGCGUAAAGCGUGCGUAGGCGGUUUGUUAAGUCUGAUGUGAAAGCCCUGGGCUCAACCUGGGAAUGGCAUUGGAUACUGGCAGUCUAGAGUGCGGUAGAGGGUAGCGGAAUUCCCGGUGUAGCAGUGAAAUGCGUAGAUAUCGGGAGGAACAUCCGUGGCGAAGGCGGCUACCUGGACCAGCACUGACACUGAGGCACGAAAGCGUGGGGAGCAAACAGG